UUAUAACUUAUUAUUAUAAUAAAUAUAUUAUUAAUUGUGAGAAAAUAAUUUAAUAAUAAAAAAUUUAGUAUUAAUUAAGAAAUUUUAUAAGAUAAUAGUUAAUAGUAUUGUAAAAGAAUGUUAAUAUAUUAAAAAAUAAUUAAAUAAAAUAAAUUUAAAUGUGCCUUGUGUAUCAUAAAAUAAUAAAUUAAUUUUUAUAAAAAUUAAUCCCGAAAAAAAGGUAGUUAAAUUAUUAAAAAAGUUUUUAUAUUAAUAAGAUUAAUAAUAAUAAUUUAGAGGUGAAAUGUCAGUCGAACUUUUAUAUCUAUAUUUAAAAUAUUUAAAAAGAACUCGGCAAAAAGAUUCUUGCCUGUUUAACAAAAACAUGUCUAUAUGAAGGUAUAUAUAGUUUAACCUGCUCACUGAUUAUAUUAAAGAGCCGCAGUAUUCUGACUGUGCGAAGGUAGCAUAAUAAAUUGUCUUUUAAAUGAAGGCUUGAAUGAAAGGUUGGACAAAGUGUCAUCUGUUUCUUAAAUAUUUAUUGAAUUUGACUUUCAAGUGAAAAGGCUUGAAUAAAUUAAAAAGACGAUAAGACCCUAUAAAUCUUUACAAUAAAUAAAUUUUAUAUUUUAAUUUAUAAGUAUAUAAGAUAUUAAGUUUAAUAGUUGUUUCGCUGGGGCGGCGUAGAUAUAUAAAUAAACUGUCUAUAUGUUAAAUUCAAUAAUUAUUGAUUAAUUAUAUUGAUCCUUAAAUAGAUUAAAAGAUUAAGAUACUUUAGGGAUAACAGCGUUAUUUUUUCUGAGAGUUCUUAUCGAAGAAAAAGUUUGCGACCUCGAUGUUGAAUUAAGGUAUCUUUAUGGUGUAGUCGCUAUAAGAGAGAGUCUGUUCGACUUUUAAUACUUUACAUGAUUUGAGUUCAGACCGGCGUGAGCCAGGUUGGUUUCUAUCUUUUAUUAAAUGUUAAAUUAUUUUAGUACGAAAGGACCAAAUAAUUAAAAAAUUUUUAUAAUUCAGAAUAUUAAUAUCUUCUUAAUUAUUAGUUUGUAAACUAAAUAAUAUUAUAAAAUAAUAAAGAAGAAAACAUU
Molecule: ribosomal RNA, 1064 nt
Filed under: Pagurus lanuginosus
Lineage: Eukaryota; Metazoa; Arthropoda; Malacostraca; Decapoda; Paguridae
Description: 16S ribosomal RNA
Rfam family: Bacterial large subunit ribosomal RNA (bases 534-934)
Source: RNAcentral